RNAcentral lists this microRNA precursor (104 nucleotides) under Poecilia formosa (Amazon molly). Its description in RNAcentral is "Danio rerio miR-199-3 stem-loop (ENSPFOG00000021286.1)". The stretch from base 12 to 92 matches the Rfam family "mir-199 microRNA precursor family". From Rfam's summary of the family: This family consists of the microRNA (miRNA) precursor mir-199 which appears to be specific to humans. The record is from RNAcentral. Lineage: Eukaryota; Metazoa; Chordata; Actinopteri; Cyprinodontiformes; Poeciliidae.
UUUCACCCCCCACCCAGCCUGCCCAGUGUUCAGACUACCUGUUCCUAACGGCUACAGCUGAACAGUAGUCUGCACAUUGGUUAGGCCAGGCUGGGAUGCACGCA